This 72-nucleotide transfer RNA is filed under the name Candidatus Tremblayella princeps. Its description in RNAcentral is "Candidatus Tremblaya princeps tRNA-Undet". It matches the Rfam family "tRNA". From Rfam's summary of the family: Transfer RNA (tRNA) molecules are approximately 80 nucleotides in length. Their secondary structure includes four short double-helical elements and three loops (D, anti-codon, and T loops). Further hydrogen bonds mediate the characteristic L-shaped molecular structure. tRNAs have two regions of fundamental functional importance: the anti-codon, which is responsible for specific mRNA codon recognition, and the 3' end, to which the tRNAs corresponding amino acid is attached (by aminoacyl-tRNA synthetases). tRNAs cope with the degeneracy of the genetic code in two manners: having more than one tRNA (with a specific anti-codon) for a particular amino acid; and 'wobble' base-pairing, i.e. permitting non-standard base-pairing at the 3rd anti-codon position. The record is from RNAcentral. Lineage: Bacteria; Pseudomonadati; Pseudomonadota; Betaproteobacteria.
GGGCAUGUAGCUCAGCGGUAAGAGCAGUCGACUUUAAUCGACCAGCAGUUGGUUAGACCCCAACCAGGCCAA